AUACGGAGGACGCGAGCGUUAUCCGGAUUCAUUGGGUUUAAAGGGUGCGCAGGCGGCCGUGCAAGUCAGCGGUGAAAGCCCGGGGCUCAACCCCGGAAGUGCCGUUGAUACUGCAUGGCUGGAAUGCGGUCGAGGCGGGCGGAACGUGGCGGGUAGCGGUGAAAUGCGUAGAUAUGCCACAGAACGCCGAUAGCGGAGGCAGCUCGCCAGGCCUGCAUUGACGCUCGGGCACGAAGGCGUGGGGAUCGAACAGGAGUAGAUACCCUGGUAGUCCACGCCGUAAACGAUGGGCGCUCGUCGUCGGCGGCAGACAGUCGGCGGCCAAGCGAAAGCGAUAAGCGCCCCACCUGGGGAGUACGGUCGCAAGGCUGAAACUCAAAUGAAUUGACGGGG
This 393-nucleotide ribosomal RNA is filed under the name uncultured bacterium. Its description in RNAcentral is "partial 16S ribosomal RNA". It matches the Rfam family "Bacterial small subunit ribosomal RNA", at positions 523 to 918 of the family's 1533-position model. The record is from RNAcentral.